GAGGCAUUUUCUCCAGCCUCUCCCUCUCAUCACUGCUGCAGUGUCUCAGUGCUUCAGUCUCUGACCUUCCACAGGGACCAUGCAAGCAUUUGCUCCCAGGUUGUAUCUGACUCCGGUCAGGGAUGAAGAAGCAGAGUCUCAGAGGAAAGCAAAGUCCCGUCAUGCCAGACAAACCCGCAGGUCAACACAGGGUGUGACUCUGACGGACCUGAACGAGGCCAAGAAGACCAACAGCUUGUCUCCUCAAGACAGAGAGAAGGAGGAAGGAGGCCCUCUGGAUGACAGGUCCUGUCUGAGGAAAGGCUUUCCAGAUGACAGGAGAGUUAAAAUUGGCCUGACAGAGUCUGCAGACACGGCAGAGAUCAGUCUGAAAUGCACAAUGGACGAGGAGGGCAACAUUGAACCGAGGUUAGAAACCCUUGCUGAGUCUCCAGACCCGACGUAUUUAUCUGCUGCUGGAUCCUGUGGUGUGCCUUACUGCAACAGCUCCUACAGAGUUGGUGAGCGAUGGUGGCGAGAUGAGAAUCAGAACCCUGUUGAAGAUGCAGCACAGCUGGCAGGUGAUGCAACACAACAAAGGCACCACUGCUGUGAUGUUGAGGAUUCAGACUACAAAGCAGAGGUAUGUGGGAAACUAUUUUAAAAUUCUACUUCACUAACAAUCACAC
Long non-coding RNA from Amphiprion ocellaris (clown anemonefish), 668 nucleotides. NCBI's taxonomy places the organism in Eukaryota, Metazoa, Chordata, Actinopteri, Pomacentridae. The record is from Ensembl.